RNAcentral lists this ribosomal RNA (591 nucleotides) under uncultured bacterium. Its description in RNAcentral is "bacterial SSU rRNA". It matches the Rfam family "Bacterial small subunit ribosomal RNA", at positions 102 to 680 of the family's 1533-position model. The record is from RNAcentral.
ACGGGUGAGUAACACGUAGGUAACCUGCCUAUGAGACUGGGAUAACUAUCGGAAACGAUAGCUAAGACCGGAUAACUGGUUUUCUCGCAUGAGAGAACCAUGAAACACGGAGCAAUCUGUGGCUUAUAGAUGGGCCUGCGGCGCAUUAGCUAGUUGGUAGGGUAACGGCCUACCAAGGCGACGAUGCGUAGCCGACCUGAGAGGGUGAACGGCCACACUGGGACUGAGACACGGCCCAGACUCCUACGGGAGGCAGCAGUAGGGAAUCUUCCGCAAUGGACGCAAGUCUGACGGAGCAACGCCGCGUGAGUGAUGAAGGUUUUCGGAUCGUAAAGCUCUGUUGCCCUAGACGAACAGCAAGGAGAGUAACUGCUCUUUGUGUGACGGUAUAGGAGAAGAAAGCCCCGGCUAACUACGUGCCAGCAGCCGCGGUAAUACGUAGGGGGCAAGCGUUGUCCGGAAUUAUUGGGCGUAAAGCGCGCGCAGGCGGUUAAUUAAGUUGGGUGUUUAAGCCCGGGGCUCAACCCCGGUUCGCAUCCAAAACUGGUUGACUUGAGUGUAGGAGAGGAAAGUGGAAUUCCACGUGUAGCG